This 500-nucleotide ribosomal RNA is filed under the name Craterostigmus tasmanianus. RNAcentral's name for it is "eukaryotic LSU rRNA". It matches the Rfam family "Eukaryotic large subunit ribosomal RNA", at positions 664 to 1105 of the family's 3401-position model. Lineage: Eukaryota; Metazoa; Arthropoda; Chilopoda; Craterostigmomorpha; Craterostigmidae. The record is from RNAcentral.
GACCAAGGAGUCUAACAUGUGCGCGAGUCGUAGGGUUACGCUCAAAGCCCGAAGGCGCAAUGAAAGUGAAGGUCGGCCUCGAUUGCCGUUACCUAGGCGGGAUCCGUUCGGGCUUACCGGUCGUUCGCGGCUGAGCCCGGCGGCGCACCGCCGGCCCGUCUCGACCGCAUCGCCGGUGAGGCGGAGCGAGAGCGUACACGUUGGGACCCGAAAGAUGGUGAACUAUGCCCGGGCAGGACGAAGCCAGAGGAAACUCUGGUGGAGGUCCGUAGCGAUUCUGACGUGCAAAUCGAUCGUCGGACCUGGGUAUAGGGGCGAAAGACUAAUCUAACCAUCUAGUAGCUGGUUCCCUCCGAAGUUUCCCUCAGGAUAGCUGGUGCUCGAGGAGGGCAGUCUCAUCCGGUAAAGCCAAUGAUUAGAGGCCUUGGGGCCGAAACGACCUCAACCUAUUCUCAAACUUUCAAUGGGUGAGAAGUCCGGCUUGCUUGACUGAAGCCCGA